GUGAAGCAUCAGAGGGCCCUGAGAGGGGUGGGGUGGCACCGGGGUGGCUGUUGGCAGAGGGCAGAGGCUGUGGGUGAAAGGGAGCCGGCCUCCAGGAGGGACUGAUUAGAAAACACAGGACUCAGCGGCGCUUUUCUGGAGCCCUCGGCGACCCCAUUGGGGCCCUGGGAGAAGCUUCUACCUGAGUUCCUGACCUCUGCCCCCCACAGAGGCUGUUGCUGGCACCCACCUGGCCCCGAGCAGGGAGAGCGAGGGAGAGCGAGUAAGGGAAACAAUGGCCUCUCCUCCCUCCUGGGCCCUGUUGUUAGCUAUUCAAGCACCAGCUCCACUGGCUUUUCUGAACUUCUCUCUGGAUCCAGGAGUACUCAGGGUGCCCCGUGCUGGGUGGUAGCCUUUCCACAGCUGUGCCACCGGCUCCUGGAGAUGAUGGAGUUUUUUACCCUGUGGUGGUCACUUGUGUUUGCCCUUCUGCCAGAAGCUUCUCUGCCUUAGCUGGGGAGGGGCGGGGAGGGGAGGACACCAGCAAGUGUCCAGGAGACUGGAGGCCACUCCUCUGCUUGGCCAGCCCGAGGAGGGGGAAGAGCCAGUCUUGCCCCAGCGUCUGUCCCCUGCCCGGCCACCACAUAGGGCCUCAGAAGAAGGAAUCUGGCUCCCACACAUCAGCGUCAUUUCCCUCCUCCUGCGUCAGGCAGUGAAUUUACCAAGCAGCUAAUAUGCUCAGGGCCUAGCUGUUCUCACCUUUGGCUGAUCACUUUCCUUCCCUGUAUCCAUUCUCUCCGUCUGCAAAAUGAGAUCCAUAAAUCUCAGCGCCAAGGUAAGAGGCUUUUUCACAGCAGAGCUGGUGAAGGAAGAACAGCCAGGAGGCUUCACUCUCUGCGCAGCCACAGCCAGAGGGAGGCAGUGACGCGGUUGUCUCUAAUGGCAAAAACGUGCAGAGUGAGCCCCCGUCCUGAGCCCGCCCUCAUCUGCUUGCUGCCUCUCUGCACGGGGGGCUGCCUCAAGUCACGGAUUCCAGCCCAGGACAGGGACCCUCAGGUAAUUCUUCAGCACACUCAAGUCCGAGAGCCGCUGAUCCAGCCGGGUGAGCGCAUGUGAGCGCCCCACCUGUAGGAGGCAGCGUGCACAGGCGCCUUCAUUCUUGCUGAGGACUCUGGAUGGUGUGGCCUGUCUUUGGCUUGUUAGCAAACAUGGCCACGGGUUACAGUCGUCCCCAGAGCUAGUGUUCUUGAGCUUGUGACGUCACCUCAGCCUCAUCUUCUGAAUGCACCAUAAAUAUGCACUUGGUUGCUUUUGUUCUCAGGCGAUUUUGUGCAUAGCUUUGUGUUUCCCGACCAUCUUAGAAUAUCCUUGAGAGCAGACACGUUUCCUGUUUCUUUUGUUUCCUUUUUGCUCCGCAGGGUCUAAUGUGGGGGUUCUGUACACAGCUGGUACUGAACUGCUUGCUCAAGAAAAUGGUGACAACUUGGAGAGAGACUCUGAGAGGCUGUGGGAGUCCCUGGAGCUGUGGUGGG
Molecule: long non-coding RNA, 1511 nt
Filed under: Equus caballus (horse)
Lineage: Eukaryota; Metazoa; Chordata; Mammalia; Perissodactyla; Equidae
Description: lncRNA (ENSECAG00000049017.1)
Source: RNAcentral